GACGAACGCUGGCGGCGUGGAUUAGGCACGCAAGUCGGACGGUAGAGCUUUAUCGUAAGAUAGAGUUUGAGAGUGGCGAACGGGUGAGUAACACGUAGGAAUCUACCCUUAAGACGGGGACAACCCAGGGAAACUCGGGCUAAUACCGGAUGAGAGUGCGAGAGAUUGCAUUUAAAAGGAUGGCGAAAGUUGUCGCUUAGGGAUGAGCCUGCGGUCUAUUAGUUAGUUGGUGAGGUAAGAGCUCACCAAGGCGAUGAUAGAUAGGCGGCCUUAACGGGUGGUCGCCCACACUGGGAUUGAGAUACGGCCCAGACUCCUACGGGAGGCAGCAGUCGAGAAUAGUCUACAAUGGCCGGAAGGCUGAUAGUGCGACGCCGCGUGAACGAGGGGAGCCCUUCGGGGGUGUAAAGUUCUUUUCUAUACGACAGUGCUAUAUAUAUGGAAUAGUAUAUAUAGAGGAUAGUAGUAUAGGAAUAAGACAACGGCUAACUCCGUCGCCAGCAGACCCGG
Molecule: ribosomal RNA, 510 nt
Filed under: uncultured bacterium
Lineage: Bacteria
Description: bacterial SSU rRNA
Rfam family: Bacterial small subunit ribosomal RNA
Source: RNAcentral